This 1035-nucleotide ribosomal RNA is filed under the name uncultured fungus. RNAcentral describes it as "eukaryotic LSU rRNA". The stretch from base 475 to 1035 matches the Rfam family "Eukaryotic large subunit ribosomal RNA", at positions 1 to 572 of the family's 3401-position model. The record is from RNAcentral. Lineage: Eukaryota; Fungi.
GGAUCAUUAUAGAGUUUUCUAAACUCCCAACCCAUGGUGAACUUACCUUUUGUUGCCUCAGCAGAAGUUAUAGGUCUUCUUAUAGCUGCUGCCGGUGGACCAUUAAACUCUUGUUAUUUUAUGUAAUCUGAGCGUCUUAUUUUAAUAAGUCAAAACUUUCAACAACGGAUCUCUUGGUUCUGGCAUCGAUGAAGAACGCAGCGAAAUGCGAUAAGUAAUGUGAAUUGCAGAAUUCAGUGAAUCAUCGAAUCUUUGAACGCACAUUGCGCCCAUUAGUAUUCUAGUGGGCAUGCCUGUUCGAGCGUCAUUUCAACCCUUAAGCCUAGCUUAGUGUUGGGAAUCUACUUCUCUUAGGAGUUGUAGUUCCUGAAAUACAACGGCGGAUUUGUAGUAUCCUCUGAGCGUAGUAAUUUUUUUCUCGCUUUUGUUAGGUGCUAUAACUCCCCAGCCGCCAAACCCCCAAUUUUUUGUGGUUGACCUCGGAUCAGGUAGGAAUACCCGCUGAACUUAAGCAUAUCAAUAAGCGGAGGAAAAGAAACCAACAGGGAUUGCCUUAGUAACGGCGAGUGAAGCGGCAACAGCUCAAAUUUGAAAUCUGGCCCUUGGGUCCGAAUUGUAAUUUGUAGAGGAUGAUUUUGGUGCGGUAUCUUCCGAGUUCCUUGGAACAGGACGCCUUAGAGGGUGAGAGCCCCGUACGGUUGAAUGCCUAGCCUCUGUAAAUCUCCUUCGACGAGUCGAGUAGUUUGGGAAUGCUGCUCUAAAUGGGAGGUAAAUUUCUUCUAAAGCUAAAUAUUGGCCAGAGACCGAUAGCGCACAAGUAGAGUGAUCGAAAGAUGAAAAGCACUUUGAAAAGAGGGUUAAAUAGCACGUGAAAUUGUUGAAAGGGAAGGAUUUGUGACCAGACUUUUUCUGGGCGGAUCAUCCGGGGUUCUCUCCGGUGCACUUCGCCCAGUAAAGGCCAGCAUCGGUUUUCGGCGUGGGAUAAAAGCAGUAGGAAUGUGGCUCUCUACGGGGAGUGUUAUAGCUCUAUUGUAU